UACGUCAGCGGCAGACGGGUGAGUAACGCGUGGGAACGUACCUUUUGGUUCGGAACAACACAGGGAAACUUGUGCUAAUACCGGAUAAGCCCUUACGGGGAAAGAUUUAUCGCCGAAAGAUCGGCCCGCGUCUGAUUAGCUAGUUGGUAGGGUAACGGCCUACCAAGGCGACGAUCAGUAGCUGGUCUGAGAGGAUGAUCAGCCACAUUGGGACUGAGACACG
RNAcentral lists this ribosomal RNA (223 nucleotides) under Bradyrhizobium sp. Is-D254. RNAcentral's name for it is "partial 16S ribosomal RNA". It matches the Rfam family "Bacterial small subunit ribosomal RNA", at positions 88 to 328 of the family's 1533-position model. Lineage: Bacteria; Pseudomonadati; Pseudomonadota; Alphaproteobacteria; Hyphomicrobiales; Nitrobacteraceae. The record is from RNAcentral.